CCUACGGGCGGCAGCAGUGGGGAAUAUUGCACAAUGGGGGAAACCCUGAUGCAGCGACGCCGCGUGAGUGAAGACGUAAUUCGUUAUGUAAAGCUCUAUCAGCAGGGAAGAAAAUGACGGUACCUGAGUACGAAGCCCCGGCUCACUACGUGCCAGCAGCCGCGGUAAUAAGUAGGGGGCAAGCGUUAUCCGGAUUUACUGGGUGUAAAGGGAGCGUAGACGGGAGUGCAAGUCUGGAGUGAAAGGCGGGGGCUCAACCCCCGGACUGCUCUGGAAACUGUACGGCUGGAGUGCAGGAGAGGUAAGUGGAAUUCCUGGUGUAGCGGUGAAAUGCGUAGAUAUUAGGAGGAACACCAGUGGCGAAGGCAGCUUACUGGACUGUAACUGACGUUGAGGCUCGAAAGCGUGGGGAGCAAACAGGAUUAGAUACCCUGGUAGUC
RNAcentral lists this ribosomal RNA (440 nucleotides) under uncultured bacterium. RNAcentral's name for it is "partial 16S ribosomal RNA". It matches the Rfam family "Bacterial small subunit ribosomal RNA", at positions 338 to 795 of the family's 1533-position model. The record is from RNAcentral.